This 747-nucleotide ribosomal RNA is filed under the name uncultured Bradyrhizobium sp. Its description in RNAcentral is "bacterial SSU rRNA". It matches the Rfam family "Bacterial small subunit ribosomal RNA", at positions 58 to 850 of the family's 1533-position model. Lineage: Bacteria; Pseudomonadati; Pseudomonadota; Alphaproteobacteria; Hyphomicrobiales; Nitrobacteraceae. The record is from RNAcentral.
CAAGUCGAGCGGGCGUAGCAAUACGUCAGCGGCAGACGGGUGAGUAACGCGUGGGAACGUACCUUUUGGUUCGGAACAACACAGGGAAACUUGUGCUAAUACCGGAUAAGCCCUUACGGGGAAAGAUUUAUCGCCGAAAGAUCGGCCCGCGUCUGAUUAGCUAGUUGGUGAGGUAAUGGCUCACCAAGGCGACGAUCAGUAGCUGGUCUGAGAGGAUGAUCAGCCACAUUGGGACUGAGACACGGCCCAAACUCCUACGGGAGGCAGCAGUGGGGAAUAUUGGACAAUGGGCGCAAGCCUGAUCCAGCCAUGCCGCGUGAGUGAUGAAGGCCCUAGGGUUGUAAAGCUCUUUUGUGCGGGAAGAUAAUGACGGUACCGCAAGAAUAAGCCCCGGCUAACUUCGUGCCAGCAGCCGCGGUAAUACGAAGGGGGCUAGCGUUGCUCGGAAUCACUGGGCGUAAAGGGUGCGUAGGCGGGUCUUUAAGUCAGGGGUGAAAUCCUGGAGCUCAACUCCAGAACUGCCUUUGAUACUGAAGAUCUUGAGUUCGGGAGAGGUGAGUGGAACUGCGAGUGUAGAGGUGAAAUUCGUAGAUAUUCGCAAGAACACCAGUGGCGAAGGCGGCUCACUGGCCCGAUACUGACGCUGAGGCACGAAAGCGUGGGGAGCAAAUAGGAUUAGAUACCCUGGUAGUCCACGCCGUAAACGAUGAAUGCCAGCCGUUGGUGGGUUUACUCACCAGUGGCGCA